UAAAAAUUAGCUUCUUUUUUUUUAUUUUAAUCCCCUAAAAAGUUCAAAAUAUAAUUAUUGGGCCCAUAAAAUAGGUCAACUAAAUAAAACUCUACUCAAACAGUAACUUCCAGAAACUUAACCAAACAAGCAGACACAGCUUAACUCACAAACUGACCUAAAAACAAAGACACAGCAGGGUAACCUUUAUAGUGGUUUGGCCAAACCAUUUACACACAAUAGGGGGAAACAAAAACAAACACCAAUACUAACUAGGCACAACAUAACAUAAGUAAACCUAAAACACACCUGUUUCUGACAAGCACUUGGUUGGUCCUGCUGAGAUGGCGUUGUUUUCAAAGUCCUCAGCUCUUGGCCACGCCUUUUGCCCAGACAGGAAACAGCCACCUCCCCAAACCAGGUAACUCAAAGAAAGAGAAACAUAGUAUAACAGAAAACUUUUUUUUUUUUUUGAAAACCACACAAUGCUACCAUGUGUGUGCUUCAUAAUAUCACUGUUAGGUUUAAGUAAAGACAUUAAUGAAUUAUUUUACUGAAAUAACUGCAAACCAAACUAAUGAAGUGAAUGAAUAGACUGAUUUUACUCAUGUGUGGCUGAUUCCAUCACAGUUGACAAGAAAGUAAAUUUAACAGAAGAAAUGCAGACCAGCUUGGAGACAACAAGGAAGUUUUCCACAGGGAGUGACCAACAGCUUCAGAUAACCCAGACUGGCUCUGCAACCAGCUCGAGCUGCUCCUGCACUGUCAGGCUGACAUGCAGUUGAAUAACAGAUGAAUGGACUGAAGCGCAGAAAAUGGAUUAAUGUGUGGGGUCAAACAGGACCUGCCCAUCACUUCAGGAAUCAACAGGUUCAUGGCAGGCUGAAGUCUAUCCUUGCUGCCACAGGGGUGAAAGGCAGUGUACACUCCAUACACAGACCAGCAACCACUGGCAUUCGCAUUCAUAACUAUGACAACAGUUUAAAGACACUGUCUUUGCUGUCUGUGGGGAGACAGUAAACACCUCCCAUGCAGACUUCCUGAGCCUUGAAAGGAUCCUGCCGUGUGCUGUGAUGAGGUGGGUAUAUCGAUCUCACUUUACAUCUUGGCUUCCCCUGAAACCACAUAAAUUUCUAUGCUUGAGUUGUUUAGUUGAAUAGAACUACAUCAUGAAAAAAAGGUGACGUCAUAUGUUUGGUGCUUGGUCUCUGGCAGAGGUGAAGACAUCUGCACUGUGUGAGGAGAAAAGAAUUUCUGUCGUGUUGUGUUGUUGUAACAGUGUAGGCAAUUUCAAAUUCUUUGCACAAAACAAACAAUCAACUACUCUUCGGACCAAAAAAGCAAUUUAAAUGCAAUUUCCUGUCAGAUUACUUUCAUGAGCGACAUAUUUGAACAGAAGAACAUUGGAGUUUCAUAUUUUCCAAAGCUCUGUGCAAUGUUUUGGAGUCUCAUAUGGAAUAAUACCUGAAAUGACCUGCCUGCGUUGCAUUUCUUCAUCUCUGGCACUCAUGGCAUUAAUUUGGGGGCAAUUUUACCCUGUGAUAUUAUCAGCUACAGCCCUUGACAACACCAUGCAGAGUCAUUCCUCGUGGUAAGGUCUUCAAUUUAUGUGGAAUGGAAAUUCAAUACUUUUAAUUAUUAGACUUUAUAAAAACCAAAAUAAGUUUUGAUAUUUCUCAUGUUUUUU
Oreochromis niloticus (Nile tilapia) is the source of this 1666-nucleotide long non-coding RNA. The record is from Ensembl. NCBI's taxonomy places the organism in Eukaryota, Metazoa, Chordata, Actinopteri, Cichliformes, Cichlidae.